This 253-nucleotide ribosomal RNA is filed under the name uncultured bacterium. RNAcentral describes it as "partial 16S ribosomal RNA". It matches the Rfam family "Bacterial small subunit ribosomal RNA", at positions 524 to 776 of the family's 1533-position model. The record is from RNAcentral.
UACGAGAGGUCCAAACGUUAUUCGGAAUUACUGGGCUUACAGAGUUCGUAGGCGGUUCGUCGCGUCGGCUGUGAAAACCCGGAGCUCAACUCCGGGCCUGCAGUCGAUACGGGCGGACUUGAGUGUUGCAGGGGAGACUGGAAUUCCUGGUGUAGCGGUGAAAUGCGCAGAUAUCAGGAGGAACACCGGUGGCGAAGGCGGGUCUCUGGGCAACUACUGACGCUGAGGAGCGAAAGCGUGGGGAGCGAACAGG